CCAGCUCCGAGGGCCGCAGAAGCGGGCCUGCAGGCGCAGGGGCGGGUGGCCUGAGUGUCAGGGGCGGUGGGUCCCGGAGAUGACUCGGACGCCACCACCGGCGGCCUGGCGCAAGCGUGGGGCCGCUGCCUUCCCGGCUCUCAUCUCCCCCGGGCCCAAGGGUUCCAGGCCCCGGCCCCGCCCUCCAGCUGCGAAUCUUGGGGGCGUGCGGGGUGGCGGGUGGCGGAUGUGGACUCUACGGAUCCUUUCGAGCGUGGAUCCAACAGUCUGUCUCUUUGGUGCUACGCGGCCCUUGGAUGACCCUGUGGCUGAGGAUGUGUUGAGAAGUGCAGAGGAUAGAAGGAAUCAGAGACCAGUUUGGCCACUGCAGUGAUGCAGGCAAGAUAGAAUGGUGACUUGGACCAUGAUGGAAGUAGUGAGGUCAUGGAAGUUUCUGGCCUGAGCAAUUAGAAGGGCAUGUGCUGAACUCAGUUUGAUACAUGACGGAAAAUAAUGAGUCCCCUGUGACGAUGUCACCACCCGGCGGAGAACAGGGACUUCUCC
Macaca mulatta (Rhesus monkey) is the source of this 543-nucleotide non-coding RNA. NCBI's taxonomy places the organism in Eukaryota, Metazoa, Chordata, Mammalia, Primates, Cercopithecidae. The record is from RefSeq and is a predicted model, not a curated record.